AGUGAACGCUGGCGGUAGGCCUAACACAUGCAAGUCGAACGGCAGCACAGUAAGAGCUUGCUCUUACGGGUGGCGAGUGGCGGACGGGUGAGGAAUACAUCGGAAUCUACUUUUUCGUGGGGGAUAACGUAGGGAAACUUACGCUAAUACCGCAUACGACCUACGGGUGAAAGUAGGGGAUCUUCGGACCUUGCGCGAUUGAAUGAGCCGAUGUCGGAUUAGCUAGUUGGCGGGGUAAAGGCCCACCAAGGCGACGAUCCGUAGCUGGUCUGAGAGGAUGAUCAGCCACACUGGAACUGAGACACGGUCCAGACUCCUACGGGAGGCAGCAGUGGGGAAUAUUGGACAAUGGGCGCAAGCCUGAUCCAGCCAUACCGCGUGGGUGAAGAAGGCCUUCGGGUUGUAAAGCCCUUUUGUUGGGAAAGAAAAGCAGCAGGUUAAUACCCCGCUGUUCUGACGGUACCCAAAGAAUAAGCACCGGCUAACCUCGUG
Molecule: ribosomal RNA, 492 nt
Filed under: uncultured bacterium
Lineage: Bacteria
Description: partial 16S ribosomal RNA
Rfam family: Bacterial small subunit ribosomal RNA
Source: RNAcentral